Molecule: unclassified non-coding RNA, 649 nt
Filed under: Zea mays
Lineage: Eukaryota; Viridiplantae; Streptophyta; Magnoliopsida; Poales; Poaceae
Description: misc RNA Zm00001eb326070
Source: RNAcentral
GCCGUAUCGCGCCCGCCUCGACGAUGGUCGCCUUGUUCUCGUCGCAGAUGGAGAGGUUGAGCAGCGCCGUGACGCCGUGCUCCUGCAGCAGCGGGUCCGCGUGCGACAGCAGCCUGACGAGCGGGCGGACGCCGCCCGCCGCGGCGAUGCGGACCCGGUUGUCCGGGUUGUGCUUGGCCAGCAGCCGGAGCUCCAUCGCCGCGCGGCGGAGCGAGUCCAGCGACUGCGACGGGCAUUCCAGCUCGGCCACGAGCGAGGAGAUUGCGUCCUCCGACGCCUCGGCCGCGCAGGAGAGCAGCAGGCGGUGGAUGCCCGCGGCGGCGGCGGGCGUGAAGGAGAGGUCGUCGCUGCCGCACUCGCUGAAGGGCUCGGAGCAGGAGGAAUCGCCGCUGUCGCUGUAACAGCUCGUGCUGCGCCGCCGCGGGGAGGUGGACGCGUCCGACUCCAUUCCCUCCGUCAGCCUCGUGUCGCGCGGCUCAGUUCCGAGCUGGAGCAAAUGCCGGAAGGCCGCGAGGCGAGGGAGGAGGGUGGAGGAGACCGGGAGCCCGAGUGGGGAACGAUGGAAUUGGGUUCUGUUCUUUGCUUUGCGUUUGGUUGGAGAGGCGAGCUAGCGGUGGCGUCGCUAGGAGCGAAUGAAAUAAGGAGGGGC